UACGUGCCAGCAGCCGCGGUAAUACGUAGGGUGCGAGCGUUGUCUGGAAUUACUGGGCGUAAAGAGCUUGUAGGCGGUCUGUCGCGUCGAUUGUGAAAACUUGCAGCUCAACUGCAAGCUUGCAGUCGAUACGGGCAGACUAGAGUACUGCAGGGGAGACUGGAAUUCCUGGUGUAGCGGUGAAAUGCGCAGAUAUCAGGAGGAACACCGGUGGCGAAGGCGGGUCUCUGGGCAGUAACUGACGCUGAGAAGCGAAAGCGUGGGUAGCGAACAGGAUUAGAUACCCUGGUAGUCCACGCCGUAAACGGUGGGCGCUAGGUGUGGGUUUCCUUCCACGGGAUCCGUGCCGUAGCUAACGCAUUAAGCGCCCCGCCUGGGGAGUACGGCCGCAAGGCUAAAACUCAAAGGAAUUGACGGGGGCCCGCACAAGCGGCGGAGCAUGUGGAUUAAUUCGAUGCAACGCGAAGAACCUUACCUGGGUUUGACAUACACCGGAAAGCCAUAGAGAUAUGGCCCCCCUUGUGGUCGGUGUACAGGUGGUGCAUGGCUGUCGUCAGCUCGUGUCGUGAGAUGUUGGGUUAAGUCCCGCAACGAGCGCAACCCUUAUCUUAUGUUGCCAGCGCGUAAUGGCGGGGACUCGUGAGAGACUGCCGGGGUCAACUCGGAGGAAGGUGGGGACGACGUCAAGUCAUCAUGCCCCUUAUGUCCAGGGCUUCACACAUGCUACAAUGGCCGGUACAGAGGGCUGCGAUACCGCGAGGUGGAGCGAAUCCCUUAAAGCCGGUCUCAGUUCGGAUCGGGGUCUGCAACUCGACCCCGUGAAGUUGGAGUCGCUAGUAAUCGCAGAUCAGCAACGCUGCGGUGAAUACGUUCCCGGGCCUUGUACACACCGCCCGUCACGUCAUGAAAGUCGGUAACACCCGAAGCCGGUGGCCUAACCCUUGUGGAGGGAGCCGUCGAAGGUGGGAUUGGCGAUGG
This 978-nucleotide ribosomal RNA is filed under the name Nocardia sp. F-39. RNAcentral's name for it is "bacterial SSU rRNA". It matches the Rfam family "Bacterial small subunit ribosomal RNA", at positions 502 to 1477 of the family's 1533-position model. The record is from RNAcentral. Lineage: Bacteria; Bacillati; Actinomycetota; Actinomycetes; Mycobacteriales; Nocardiaceae.